Molecule: non-coding RNA, 234 nt
Organism: Coffea arabica (coffee)
Lineage: Eukaryota; Viridiplantae; Streptophyta; Magnoliopsida; Gentianales; Rubiaceae
Source: RefSeq, a predicted model, not a curated record
CUAGAAGUGAAGCGUCAACCGCCGCUUCCUCUCUAUUGUUUCAGAAUGCAACUAGAGUGUAGAUCUGUGGAGCUUUCAAUUUAUGCACUCUUAUUUUUCGUCUGAGAAAGAGCUACAAGCACUUAAGCAUCUUCUAUCCAUUAAGGUAUGAAGGUGCACAAUCUGCAGAAGCCUUGCUAAGUUUGUGAACAGUGAAGAAGGUUAUGAUAGCACUGAAGGCUACAAUUAAGAGAA